Molecule: ribosomal RNA, 301 nt
Filed under: uncultured bacterium
Lineage: Bacteria
Description: partial 16S ribosomal RNA
Rfam family: Bacterial small subunit ribosomal RNA
Source: RNAcentral
CAGCAGCCGCGGGAAUACGAAGGUCCCGAGCGUUGUUCGGAAUCACUGGGCGUAAAGGGAGCGUAGGCGGCGUGGUAAGUCAGAUGUGAAAUCCCGGGGCUCAACCCCGGAACUGCAUCCGAUACUGCCAUGCUAGAGGAUUGGAGAGGUAGCUGGAAUUCUUGGUGUAGCAGUGAAAUGCGUGGAGAUCAAGAGGAACACUCGUGGCGAAAGCGAGCUACUGGACAAUAACUGACGCUGAGGCUCGAAGGCCAGGGUAGCGAAAGGGAUUAGAUACCCCCGUAGUCCCUGUCUCUUAUAA